AGUAACACAAGAUUAGUUCAUGGUAGCUGCCAACACCGAGGUCAACAAAAAUCACGCUAAUCAGAUGAGCUGGAACUUGCGGUGUGUCGGUUUUUAUGGCCUUUCCUCCUAGCUGUAUCCCCCGACUGUCUUUUUCAACAGCGGUGGCCUUCUCAAUACCCUCCUUCAAACAGACGACAGAAGUUCGCCAGGUAAACAACAAUAGGAUGUACGAAGGUUUUUGGCGUGCCCGCACAACCAGAAACCCGUACUGGCCAGCUGUACAGUGACUGUGGCUCAUACACUGUCUGUCCUGGACCAAGAGCAGGUCACUGCUGACAGUGCAAGAGACAGACAUGGCUCACACUUGGAGUUGCCGGGCUGAGUUACCUUCAUUGCAUUCGUCUCCUAGAAAUCAGGACAGGUGUCGCUUUCUUGCCUUUUCAGUCUCGGUGCUCUGCUCAAAAACAAUCAGCCCCACUACUGCCAUGCCAUCUGCUCUUUUUUCAGUUCUUCUGAUGUCAUCUGUCUCUCCAGAAACUCUGAACAACUGCGACCGUUUUGUCUUUCUUCCCUUUGCCAUCUCCUUUUCUCCCUUCCUAACCCAUUCACUCCACUCUCCCUCCACCCCCCCUUUUCUCUCCAUUUCCUAUAAUUGUUGUUUUUGUUUUUCUCGCUGGCCUUGCAGGAGCCCCUGGCCACUGACUCCCACAUGGGUGCGAGCACAUGGCUCCUGUCUGCACCAGAUCUAGGCCUGUCCGGAACACUGUGGCCCAGGCUCCUACAGCAAUGUGGCACCCUUUACCUGGUCUAGUCUUGGGCCUCGACUCUUCCCUCUUCCAAAGCUUUAAGCCACAUGCAUAGCUGAUAUUUCUUCUUCUCUGGGGAGUUCUGCUUGGAAUGCUCUAAUUCAAUCCAGCUAGCAAAUUUUAGCAAGCAGUAGCUCUCUUUCUACUUCCGCGUCAAUCUCAGGCUGGUUUGAGAUUCUGCUAGUGCUGCACCUGUUCGCCGACUCACACUCUUUCACCCACAUCUUACAUGCUUCUGAUUCACUUCAUUCACCAUCCGUGUUCUUCUGAAACACUGCAUAUCGAAAUCUAAUGAAAGCAGCUCAAGCCUGCAUUAUAUGUGCUUCUCAUUCACUGCAUAUCCGAAUCUGUUUGAUCAAAGCGCAUCAUACACCCUUCUCAUUCAUUCUGUCCUCCAAAACUGCAGCCAAGCCAACUUGCUCUUAGCUCGGUGUUUGAAAUCUGGGCUGGUGUCUUGUGUAUCAUUUGGGGGGGGAAUGUAACAGCAUUGAUCUCUGUCCAUCACUGACCUUUCAUCAGCCAGCAAAUUAUCUCCAAAGUAUUAAGUAUUUUAAUCUUUUAUAUUUGUUGGUUUCAUCA
Non-coding RNA from Lepisosteus oculatus (spotted gar), 1367 nucleotides. NCBI's taxonomy places the organism in Eukaryota, Metazoa, Chordata, Actinopteri, Semionotiformes, Lepisosteidae. The record is from RefSeq and is a predicted model, not a curated record.